AACGAAGUUAGAUGAGCUAUGUAAAUAUAAGUUUUAGCUUAAUGAGCAUGUGGCAUAAUGCAAAUUAAAUAAUUACCUAGGGGUGAUAGGCCUACCAAAUCUAACGAUAUCUUGAUACUUUUGAAAAACAUUUAGUGUUACAACAACUAAGUAGUUAUAAGGCUAUUUAGGAUCAUAAAUAUCUAUUUAUAAUAUUUUCUAGGUUUAAUUAUCAGAUAAUUUAUUGAUUAUUAUUUAUUUAUUUUGAGUUAUGUGUUCUAAAAAGUUGUAUAAAAAUAUAUUAUUAUGUUAAUAAUGUAAUUAUGAGUAAUAUAGUUAACAAGAAUAAACUCGGCAAUAUGCCCUUCAACUGUUUAUCAAAAACAUAGCUACGCGCACUUAUGCGUAGUAAUUUCUGCUCAAUGAGACAUUCAAUAGCCGCAGUACUCUGACUGUGCAAAGGUAGCGUAAUAAUUUGACUUAUAAUUGAAGUCUAGUAUGAAUGAAUAUAUGGGGGGCAGCUUUAUCCUUGUUAUUUUGUAAAAUUACUUUGUAAGUGCAAAUACUUACAAUAAAAAACGAUAGACGAGAAGACCCUAGAAAUUUUAAUUAUACGUUUCUUUAACCUUUUUGUUGGGGCAACAGAGUAACACAGAACUUACUUAUAUGAACAAGAACAUUAUAUGAGAUAGAAUAAAUUACUCUAGGGAUAACAGCGUAAUUUUUAAGAGUUUGCGACCUCGAUGUUGGACUAGGAAACAGUUGUUUAGAA
RNAcentral lists this ribosomal RNA (751 nucleotides) under Prototrachia sedula. RNAcentral describes it as "partial 16S ribosomal RNA". The record is from RNAcentral. Lineage: Eukaryota; Metazoa; Mollusca; Gastropoda; Stylommatophora; Camaenidae.